GAUGAAGAACGCAGCGAAAUGCGAUACGUAAUGUGAAUUGCAGAUUUCAGUGAAUCAUCGAAUCUUUGAACGCACAUUGCGCCCGCUAGUAUUCUGGCGGGCAUGCCUGUUCGAGCGUCAUUUCAACCAUCAAGCCCUAGGCUUGCGUUGGAGCCCUGCGGCUGCCGCAGGCUCCCAAAUCCAGUGGCGGGCUCGUCGUCGUACCGAGUGCAGUAAACAUCCUCGCUCAGGGAACGUGACGGGUUCUUGCCGUGAAACCCCCCACAUAUCAAGGUUGACCUCGGAUCAGGUAGGAAUACCCGCUGAACUUAAGCAUAUCAAUAAGCGGAGGA
RNAcentral lists this unclassified non-coding RNA (332 nucleotides) under soil metagenome. Its description in RNAcentral is "partial contains 5.8S ribosomal RNA, internal transcribed spacer 2, and large subunit ribosomal RNA". The stretch from base 1 to 120 matches the Rfam family "5.8S ribosomal RNA", at positions 35 to 154 of the family's 154-position model. The record is from RNAcentral.